GUAGUGGAUAGCUCAGUGGCUAGAGCGCCUAAAUAUAUCCUUUUUUCACAACUUGCCUGCAAAGGCCGACGAAUUGAGGGUUAUCGCCUGCCAAGCGGGAGGUCGCGGGUUCAAAUCCCGCUCCACUACGCCA
This 133-nucleotide transfer RNA is filed under the name Nostoc punctiforme FACHB-252. RNAcentral describes it as "tRNA-OTHER". RNAcentral also lists the same sequence under 3 other names. Lineage: Bacteria; Bacillati; Cyanobacteriota; Cyanophyceae; Nostocales; Nostocaceae. The record is from RNAcentral.